GGCCUUAUGGGUUGGGAGGGAGGAGUGGGCAGAGAAUUGCAUUGUACUGUACAAAACUUUGUCAAACAGGUCAAAAUUUGACUUGAGUAUAUAGAAUUGGCAGUUUGGAAAAAAUUCUAAUAUCCUGGUGUCAUUACAUAGUUGAUAAAUUUGAUCCUGAUUGGCAGAUUUGACCUAAAAAUAAUCAAAAGAUAAUAAAAAUGAAAAACCCAGUGGUGAGUUUUAGAAGAACUAUUUUCAAGGAUAUAAUUAGGCUGGUACUAGGACUUGAAGAAAGCCUUGUGCAGUGAUUACCUGGAAAUUGCUCUGUUUUAGGGAUGUUUUCCGGAACUGUCCAUAACGUCACUAGCAAAUGCAGAAACCAGUUAGUCGAGAUAAAUGUGCUGCUUAGGCAUUGUUCCAAUUGAAUUAUUCCGUGAUCAAAGUAAUGUUUGUGUCCUCACAUCCCACAAAAUUGAUGACAGUGUAAUCUCUGUGAGUUCUUAAUGAUGAUAAGAGUCUCAGUCUGAGUGGUGAGAGUGGUAACGUUCACAUCCAAAUGGAGAGUUUCCCACGGUUGGGACAGCACAGACCUUUGUAGCAAAUAAUGAAAUGAACCUUUUCUAAUCAUUCUGUUUCCUGUGAGCAAAUAUUCUAUUCCUCAUUGUCCAUAAUGAAAUCCUAGUAAGUGCAGGGUAGCUAUAACAAAACCUUAAUCACCAGCAAUAUUUACCCUACCUGUGAUUCAUUAUCAUCUAUUUUCUAGUUCUGAACAGGACCUGCUGUUCGUUCUCUUCUGCACAGAACAAGAGACCAAGCUGAUGAAACUGUCACCUUUGAGCAAGGCGUAGGGUAUAUGUCACAUGAAAUAUUUAUUGUAUAGUUUAGCUCUGAAAACAUUGUUAAAAAUAUUGUUCCUUAUUUGCUGUUCCAAAGUAAAAACAAAAUGUAGUUACCUACCAUCUGUUUCUUUGAACAGAUGUCCAUAUAUUUUAAGUAUUAGUUACUUUAAUGAGCUAGAAUUACAGUUCUGGGGAACUUUGGGCUCUUCUUGAGUUGGUCCCGUGCUUGAUGCACCUUCUGACCUUCCUUGUUCCCCUUUAUGAGAUCAUUUACAGUAAAGCCAAGAGAAGUAAAUAAAUUGAUAUGAAGUGUGUGGACAGCUUGUUACUUAUCUCCUGAUGUUUCCAGAGAAAUGUGAGAAAACAGAUUAAUAUGCAUAUAGUAUUUUUUUCACUUCUUUUAAUACCUUUUUAUCAAUUUGGAUUUUUUUAUUUCAGUACAUUAAUCUGAUGUGUGUGUAUCAGAGCAUCUUUGUUAUAUCUAGAAAACAGUUCCUUCUCAAAUAUCUAAUUGCAACAGGAACUAGGAAGGGUUUCACACUGUUCUGUAGAUAUUUUGCUGUGAGAACAAUGUAACAGCUUUCUAGAACUAUGAAAGCGUUUGGGCUGUGUUUGGGUACAUGAGGCAGAGAAUUCAAGCUGCUCUGGCAGCCAGUUCUCUUCUGUGUGAUGAGAACAGCAAAACUGCUGUCGUGUAUCAGAUGAAGGCUCUGCCUGAUCUGGUGUCCUGUCUCCAGCAGGACCUGCCCUGACCAGGAGCCCAAGGUAUAGCAAAAAUAGGGCAAGACUAUAUUGUACUGGUAGUAGUUUCUCUUCCUGGUGCUUAGUCCACAAAUCCUACCUCUCUCUUUGACCAGGGCUACUUGGUACAGUGUACAGCAAGUGAAGACGGUAAGUGCUCAACAGUGAGUACAGUGUCUAAGGUUGUGCUGGCAGAGAUAGGUCAGGAUGUGUUUUCAGGCCCUAAAACUGGAACAAGGGGGAAUCUACAUGGCUGUCCUUUCAAACAGAACAAUCCAGGUGGAGGACUUGGAGGAAUUCUGGAAAGACAAGACCAGAUCCCAGUUCUUAUGCGUAUCAUAUGUGAGGAAAGCAAGCAUAAUGAGGGGAAAAAUAUGCAUUUUCCCAGCUCAGCAAUCUAGGGUGAUAUCCAUGGAGGAACAUCACCCUGGUCUGUGUAACCUGCUCUGAUCUGGAAAGGCGGGAAAUCCACUGAGAAGAUCAUUGCUGCUUUGUAUUGCAGUUCUGGAACUGGCAAUAACUGUAAAGCCUUUCCUGUUAGCAGCACAGGACUGACAGCAUAAAGACUGAAGAUUUGUAGGGAUAAUGCAUGAGUCUGAGAGAUAAAGGGAGCUAUAAAGGGGGAAGCAGCCAGGAGGGCACCAGAGUGAACUGCCCACAGCUCCCGAGAGGUCGUGCCCCAGGUUUGGAGGUGCUUCUGUAAGGAAUCAGUAUGGAACCAGAGGAGUACAGACAGAGAGGGAAAGAGAUGGUGGAUUACAUUUGCCAGUACCUGAGCAAUGUGAGAGAGAGACGGGUGACUCCUGAUGUACAGCCAGGUUACAUGAGAGCCCAGUUGCCGGAUUCUGCCCCAAUGGAUCCAGACAGCUGGGACAACAUCUUUGGAGAUAUAGAGAAGAUUAUUAUGCCAGGGGUAGUCCAUUGGCAAAGUCCACACAUGCAUGCCUACUUUCCAGCUCUUACUUCCUGGCCUUCACUCCUUGGAGAUAUGUUGGCUGAUGCAAUUAACUGCUUGGGAUUCACAUGGGCCUCCAGCCCAGCCUGUACAGAACUGGAAAUGAAUGUGAUGGAUUGGUUGGCCAAAAUGCUGGGACUUCCAGAGAAAUUCCUGCACUACCAUCCUGACAGUGUGGGUGGAGGAGUAUUACAGAGCACUGUGAGCGAAUCCACCUUGGUUGCACUGCUAGCAGCAAGGAAGAACAAAAUUCUGGAGAUGAAGGUUUCCGAGCCAAACACCGAUGAGUCCUCGCUCAAUUCUCGCCUCAUCGCUUAUGCAUCUGAUCAGGCACAUUCUUCUGUAGAAAAGGCUGGGUUGAUUUCCCUUGUGAAGAUAAAAUUUCUGCCUGUGGAUGAGAACUUUUCCCUCAGAGGUGAAACUUUGAAGAAAGCCAUUGCAGAAGACAAGAAGAAAGGCCUUGUGCCAGUCUUUGUUUGUGCAACAUUGGGUACAACUGGUGUCUGUGCUUUUGACAGUCUCUCAGAACUGGGUCCAAUUUGUGAUGCUGAGGGACUCUGGCUUCAUAUUGAUGCUGCAUAUGCAGGAACAGCAUUUGUAUGUCCUGAAUUUAGGCUGUUCUUGGAUGGAAUUGAAUAUGCAGAUUCCUUUACUUUUAACCCUUCUAAAUGGAUGAUGGUUCAUUUUGACUGCACUGGAUUUUGGGUUAAGGAUAAAUACAAAUUACAUCAAACCUUCAGUGUUAACCCUGUCUACCUCAGACAUGCCAACUCAGGAGCUGCAAUUGACUUCAUGCACUGGCAGAUUCCACUGAGUCGCCGAUUCCGGUCUUUGAAGCUGUGGUUUGUGCUUCGCUCGUUUGGGGUGAAAAAGCUUCAAGCUCACGUCCGACAUGGUACUGAAACAGCCAAAUUCUUUGAGUCCUUGGUUAAAAGUGACCCGCUUUUUGAAAUUCCUGCGAAGAGGCAUCUUGGACUGGUUGUGUUUCGGCUAAAGGGUCCCAACUGGCUGACAGAAAAACUCCUGAAAGAACUAAGCAGUUCUGGCAGGCUCUUCCUCAUUCCAGCAACCAUUCAUGACAAGUUCAUCAUUCGCUUUACUGUAACGUCCCAGUUCACAACCAGGGAAGACAUUCUGCGAGACUGGAACAUCAUUCAACACACUGCAGCCCAAAUUGUUAGCCAGAAUUAUGGGCUGCACUGCAUCAAUUCUGAUUAUGGGGCAAGAAUCCCUGCUAUGGUAGUAGAGCCCAGUUCUGAUGCCAUUAGUAAUGCUUCCCAGCUUUAUCUAGAUGGAGGGAAAUCUAAACCACCUUCCAGAAAAACAGUAGUUAAGCCUAAGUUAUCGCUAGAUCAAGUCCUUCUUGUAGAAGAGGAAGAAGAUAAAAAGAGCUGCCUAAUAUAGGAAAAGCAAGAGGACUCUCAUUUUGAUGCCAAAGAAGGGACUGUAAGGAAUGACACUUCCAUACACCACAGAUGCAAACUGUAUGAGGUCUGUAUUGGACAUGAAGGAACAAAAAAUGUGAGCAAAGAAAUACAAAUAAGUAACUGUUUAGGAGACAAACAAGGGUUUGUUUUUCAAGUGAUCCCGAAGAUGGUCAGGUGAGGACAGAAGUGGAGUGAUACCACUAGAGUGCAUUGUAGAUGGUUAGUGCAUGGACAGCAUUGCAGGUAUCAAGGCCCAUGUGAGGGCAGUCUGGGGGUCAAAUGACUCGUAUAAAGGCUGGGAGGAAAAUGCUAUUUACCAUGAGUGAAGUUCUCUAGGUCAGACCAUAAAUGUGCUAGUUAGGAAAAGGAAAGUAUUUCUGCUUUGAUUGUACUUAGAUGAAGAUUGGUUUGUGUCCAGGAGGAGCUACCGUUAAAAAAGAAAGAAACAGAUCUGUGAGAUAUGGGAAAGAAUGCUUUCACUAAAAGAAAUUGUGAGCAGAAAUGACUCAGUCCAGAAGAAAAAUAAAAAAAAAUGGUAUAGCAUUCAGCAAAAGCUUGUUGCAAUUAUGGUGAGGACAAUUUUAGGGACCCUGUAAAGCAUCAAACACAUGUAGUAAGUAGGGAAAGAAGUAGUGUGCAGAGUCAGAAGAACUAUGUAAACUGAGUUGAUAAAGAAUGAUCCAAAGGUCCAAAACUAGCUGAUAAAUUGAAAAGGACAGAAAAGGAAGCAAGACCUUUGGAUUUAGCCACAAGCCAAUCAUUAAUUUUUUUAGAAGGUCAAUGCGAGUAAAGUGACCUUAGCAAAAUCAACUGAAUCUUAUAACAAGUAUUUGAGCAGAACUAGCAUAAACUGAGGUUUUUUAAAAAAAGAUGACUGAGCAGCAUUUUAAACGUGACUGGAAAUCUCCAGAGGCAGAUUGCUGCUGAAGAGCCCUUCGUGGAAAUGAAAUCCCUGACGGCAGCUGCAGGCGG
This is an RNA transcript of Corapipo altera (White-ruffed manakin), 4916 nucleotides long. It is a transcript of the gene named histidine decarboxylase, with no coding region annotated. The record is from RefSeq and is a predicted model, not a curated record. The transcript has 15 exons. Lineage: Eukaryota; Metazoa; Chordata; Aves; Passeriformes; Pipridae.